UCUUUUCCUUUUGUGCCCGCCGCCGCGGUAAUACGGAAGGUCCGGGCGUUAUCCGGAUUUAUUGGGUUUAAAGGGAGCGUAGGCCGGAGAUUAAGCGUGUUGUGAAAUGUAGACGCUCAACGUCUGCACUGCAGCGCGAACUGGUUUCCUUGAGUACGCACAAAGUGGGCGGAAUUCGUGGUGUAGCGGUGAAAUGCUUAGAUAUCACGAAGAACUCCGAUUGCGAAGGCAGCUCACUGGAGCGCAACUGACGCUGAAGCUCGAAAGUGCGGGUAUCGAACAGG
RNAcentral lists this ribosomal RNA (284 nucleotides) under Segatella copri DSM 18205. Its description in RNAcentral is "Prevotella copri DSM 18205 partial 16S ribosomal RNA". It matches the Rfam family "Bacterial small subunit ribosomal RNA", at positions 493 to 776 of the family's 1533-position model. Lineage: Bacteria; Pseudomonadati; Bacteroidota; Bacteroidia; Bacteroidales; Prevotellaceae. The record is from RNAcentral.